Molecule: ribosomal RNA, 253 nt
Filed under: uncultured bacterium
Lineage: Bacteria
Description: partial 16S ribosomal RNA
Rfam family: Bacterial small subunit ribosomal RNA
Source: RNAcentral
UACGUAGGGGGCAAGCGUUGUCCGGAAUCAUUGGGCGUAAAGCGCGUGUAGGCGGCCCGGUAAGUCCGCUCUGAAAGCCCGGGGCUCAACCCCGGGAGGCGGGCGGAUACUGUCGGGCUAGAGUCCGGAAGAGGCGAGUGGAAUUCCUGGUGUAGCGGUGAAAUGCGCAGAUAUCAGGAGGAACACCAAUAGCGAAGGCAGCUCGCUGGGACGGUACUGACGCUGAGACGCGAAAGCGUGGGGAGCAAACAGG